AACUCGGAACUGCAGCCCCAGCUGUAAAAAUCUUACAACUCUGAAAGCCUCUUCAGAGGUCCGAAGUUAAGGUUGUUGGCAAUGACUCCAUCUUGGAUCUUUUAGCAUUUUCCUUUCAGAAGCACAGGCAGCUUUAUCCUGUCUCCAUCCACAGACUGCAACCUCUACAGCAAGGACAGAAAUACCACCUGACAAAAGAUGGCUGAGCAUGUCGUGGUGAUCCAAACCAGCCAUACAACUGCCAGGUCUCAAAGGGUGCAGUGCAGAGAGAAGCAAAAGUGUGGGAGGGAAAACAAUGGUCCAGAGCACCACGUCACUGAGUAGCCAAGUUGGGAAUCCCUCCUGAAUCAAUCCUGCCUCCGGACAAAGCUGCUCCUUCCUUGUGUGUACAACAGAUGCCCACACCAAAGUAAUUACCAUCUGGGAGAUGCUGACUGGCUGGAAGAACCUGUUCAUUCUGGGUCUGUAAUGGAGUCUGUGAGGAGCUCAGCUUCCUGGUGUGGAAGAAGGAGAACUUCCUUAUCAACAACUGAGAAGAUUCUGAAGAACUCCAAGGCAAUUCCUGCUGCUGUCAUUCAGCUGUGAGCCCUGAGUCAUGGCGCAGAUGGGGCCACUGUGCUGACCAGAAGCACUGUGGGCACCACGAGCUGGCAGAGAUGACCAGGAGGAGCAGGAGCUGAAGAACAACGUGGACAGGACUCAACUCUAUAAACCAGAACCGAGCUGGCUUUGGCCAUGGGCGGAUGGAAACCGCUGAAAAACAACUUCUACACAAACAUUGUGAAAGGCAGCAACUGGCUGAUGGGGAGGACUUUCCAAAGCCACGGAAGGAAGUCACC
Myiozetetes cayanensis is the source of this 839-nucleotide long non-coding RNA. RefSeq lists it as uncharacterized. The transcript has 7 exons. The record is from RefSeq and is a predicted model, not a curated record. NCBI's taxonomy places the organism in Eukaryota, Metazoa, Chordata, Aves, Passeriformes, Tyrannidae.